This 135-nucleotide ribosomal RNA is filed under the name Saimiri boliviensis boliviensis (Bolivian squirrel monkey). Lineage: Eukaryota; Metazoa; Chordata; Mammalia; Primates; Cebidae. The record is from RNAcentral.
CAUGGCCAUACCACCCUCAACACAUCCUAUCUCAUCUGGUCUCUGAAGCUAAGCAGGGUUGGGCCUGGUUAGUACUUGGAAGGGAGAAAAUAAAUAACGUAUAAACGUUUGUAUUUAGCAUGAUAGCUGCUAUGC